RNAcentral lists this ribosomal RNA (460 nucleotides) under uncultured bacterium. Its description in RNAcentral is "partial 16S ribosomal RNA". It matches the Rfam family "Bacterial small subunit ribosomal RNA", at positions 338 to 795 of the family's 1533-position model. The record is from RNAcentral.
CCUACGGGUGGCAGCAGUGAGGAAUAUUGGUCAAUGGGCGCGAGCCUGAACCAGCCAAGUCGCGUUCAGGAUGACUGCCCUAUGGGUUGUACACUUCUUUUAUACAUGAAUAAAGUUAAGCACGUGUCCCUUUUUGUAUGUACUUUAUGCAUAAGGCUCGGCUAACUCCGUGCCAGCAGCCGCGGUAAUACGGAGGAUCCGAGCGUUAUCCGGAUUUAUUGGGUGUAAAGGGCGCGUAGAUGGGUUGUUAAGUCAGUUGUGAAAGUUUGCGGCUAAACCGUAAAAUUGCAAUUGAUACUGGCAGUCUUGAGUACAGUUGAGGUAGGCGGAAUUCGUGGUGUAGCGGUGAAAUGCUUAGAUAUCACAAAGAACUCCGAUUGCGAAGGCAGCUUACUAAACUGCCACUGACAUUGAUGCUCGAAAGUGUGGGUAUCAAACAGGAUUAGAUACCCUGGUAGUC